This 253-nucleotide ribosomal RNA is filed under the name uncultured bacterium. Its description in RNAcentral is "partial 16S ribosomal RNA". It matches the Rfam family "Bacterial small subunit ribosomal RNA", at positions 524 to 776 of the family's 1533-position model. The record is from RNAcentral.
GACGUAGGGGGCCAGCGUUGUUCGGAAUUACUGGGUGUAAAGGGUUCGUAGGCGGUGCGGCAAGUUGGGAGUGAAAUCUCUGGGCUUAACCCAGAGGCUGCUUCCAAAACUGCUGUGCUUGAGUGUGGGAGAGGCGCGUGGAAUUCCUGGUGUAGCGGUGGAAUGCGCAGAUAUCAGGAGGAACACCGAUGGCGAAGGCAGGUCUCUGGGCCACUACUGACGCUGAGAAGCGAAAGCAUGGGGAGCGAACAGG